AUGGCCUGGAACGGCUUUGUUCCAGUCACCAGGUCAUUUCUUCCUGGCUCUUGGCUGAGGUGGUUCUCAGAAGUCUGUUCCACCUGCUGCUUGACAUGGCUUUCAGGGAAGGACCCAGGUGAGCGGGGCUGCCAGUGUCUGGGGAAGAUGGGGCAUGACAACUGUCCUGAGAGGAGUCCAGUCUGGUGGCCAGAACAGUCAAGGAGGCACCAAGGCUGGCCCGCUGAGAAUGAGCUGAGCCAUAGAGGUCCUUGGGGGAAAGUGGCUGGACGGGCAUCGCCGUGGGGUAUGGUCAGUCCAGGGCACGAAUGGGGCAGUGGGGGAAGACAGCAUCCUGGGAGAUCUCGUAGCUUGUGAAGAGUAUGGUGACUCUCCUGCUGCCCUUAACUCUGACCCCAUGGUGAACAGAAAACAGACUUUGGGAUGCACUUCCCACUGAAACAGAGCUCUCUAUUCCCACUGGGAGUGACCGUCCUGGUCUACAAAUUUAUUCCCGCUUAGGAACUAACAAUUGAUCUUUAACCACCUCCUGAAAGUGAGGAGGUCCAGGAGCCAGUGUGGGCGGCCUUGAGAGAUGGCCUCCUGCAGGUGGGAGCUGGGUGGGGGGUCCUUUAAAAUUAUCUGAGCAAGGAACUGGGAACAGUGGGUCAGGCAGAUGCCUCUGUGGACUAGGGUUCCCAGGCUGGGACAUGGGAGGAGGGAUUGGCAGGACCUGAUGGGUGCUCGUUGAAGGCCUAGGUGUCAGAACCCUCCCAGGCCUGACAGAGCCCACCUGGACCACUUGGGGAUGGCUCUGCCUGGCUGCCCUGGAUGGAGGGACUGGCUAAGAGCAUGGGAUGGCAGAGAAGGCUCUGCUCCAGCAUUUUCUGCCCUUGCCAACCCACCCACCCCAUGGUGUCCCUGUAGGGGGCAGCCUCGUUUCCAAGAGCAACUGUAAAAUAGCUCCAUAAUGUUUAUAUUUAUUACAUAUUGAAAGGAUAUAUUGGAUUAAAUUAUUAAAACUUCAGUUUUUUCCACUCUCUCAACAUGGCUACUAUUACUAGAAAAAUUUAAUUUAUAUUCCUGGCUCACAUUAUAUUUCUAUUUUCUCAUGUUUUUAUAAAAGAACAGAGAUGUACACGUCUAUGUACAUUUUAUAAAAGAACACAGAUGCACAGGUGCACGGGUACGGGAGCCUUCCCCUCACAGAAGUGAGGUCGGCCUCUAUGCACAGUUCUGUUACUUCCUCUUCCACUGAGUCCCUUAGGCCCUCUUUUCCAGAGAGCACGUAUCCACCAACCUCAUCCUUUUCAAUGGCCAGGCUGCUCUCCAUUGCACGCGGAUGCAUUACUCAUUCACCCUCCUCUCCACGGACCAACACUGGGGUGGUCCAUCUACUUUUUCCAGCAAUACUCGGAGAACCACCUUGGUCUGCUGGCUGUGCAGUCUCAUUUCCAGAAGGGUAAAGUUGGGUCUGGUGUGAGUGUGUGAAAUGGUUUUGUAGGCCCUGUAGGCAGGACUGAGGUGGACUUCACCUUGCAGUCACUAGAAAGGCUUAAAACUGCUUGCUCUUUCCAAAUGGCUCUGUAUUUUUCCUUCAUUAAAAGAAGCAAUAAAAGCACAUUAGAGACAGGUGGGAGGAAAAAUAAAGGAAAAAAAAACCCUCCUGUAACCAAUUACACAGAUACUUCUUCCUUUUAGUCUUCUGGUGCAUGUUUUCAUUAGUAGACCUGUAAUCACAGUGCCCAUAAAUUUUAGAUCUUGCUUUUUCCAUUGAAGGUUUUGUGUAAGAUCUUUCCAUGUGACUACAGAAUUUUCAUAAAAAGUUUACUUCGCUGGACACUGGGGCCUUUUCCAGU
This 1838-nucleotide long non-coding RNA is filed under the name Bos grunniens (domestic yak). Its description in RNAcentral is "lncRNA (ENSBGRG00000017093.1)". Lineage: Eukaryota; Metazoa; Chordata; Mammalia; Artiodactyla; Bovidae. The record is from RNAcentral.